RNAcentral lists this ribosomal RNA (247 nucleotides) under uncultured bacterium. RNAcentral describes it as "partial small subunit ribosomal RNA". It matches the Rfam family "Bacterial small subunit ribosomal RNA", at positions 26 to 285 of the family's 1533-position model. The record is from RNAcentral.
AGAAUCAACGCUGGCGGCGUGCCUAACACAUGCAAGUCGAGCGAGAAAGUGGAGCAAUCCAUGAGUAAAGCGGCGCACGGGUGAGUAACACGUGACUAACCUACCCUCGAGUGGGGAAUAAACUUCGGGAAACCGAGGCUAAUACCGCAUAACACCCACGGGUCAAAGGAGCAAUCCCGCUUGAGGAGGGGGUCGCGGCCGAUUAGUUAGUUGGCGGGGUAACGGCCCACCAAGACGAUGAUCGGUA